AUAUUGCACGCCAGCGGGGGGAUGAGAAGCCCCGACCGGGGUUCGACAACUGGCGCAGCCAGUUGGACAGAUGACGAGCCCGCGAGGAAUCUACCCGCAGGGCGAGCRAAGCGAGUCAAUCCCCCCCUCACCGCCA
This 136-nucleotide small RNA is filed under the name Citrobacter werkmanii. RNAcentral describes it as "RtT sRNA". Lineage: Bacteria; Pseudomonadati; Pseudomonadota; Gammaproteobacteria; Enterobacterales; Enterobacteriaceae. The record is from RNAcentral.